AAGAAAAUGAAUGCUGGAAACAAGAGCAGAAAAAUAAUCUAACAAAGGGACAUGAUGAUCCCGAUGCUAGCCCAAUCUAUCGAGGGUUGAAUCCCUACGAUAGCCCAAGGCCUUUCGGCCGAAUUCCCCUAUGGGAUCAAAGAUCAAAAGAUCAAUAUUGAUUAACUUCGCAAAAGAUGAUUACAAAGUGCCUAAUGGCACCCUUAAAUAGACAAAUGCUAAGUGCUGAAAUUUCAGCUUAUGAGUGGGCUUAAUUCGAAUUCAAAUUCGAAAUUAGUAGUGGGAACUAAUUCGAAUUUGAAUUUGAAUUCCAACCUUUCCUUAAUCGGCCAAGAGUGGCCUUUAUUUGAAUUCAAAAUUUGAAUUCAAAUUACUCAAGCAAACUAUCCUUAUUUGGCCUCUAAUCAGCCAUAUUUGAAUUCAAACUCAUUUGAAUGGGUGGGCGCCCAAUCAAUUUGGGAAUGUGCAGAUUUGGGCUGGUUGCACCUUCCAUGCUGCUUCCGCCAAGUGUCCGUGGUCCCUUGCCAUGUGUCGCCCUUUGGUGAAGGUGUC
RNAcentral lists this long non-coding RNA (552 nucleotides) under Phoenix dactylifera (date palm). RNAcentral describes it as "long non-coding RNA (PDAC_LNC021909)". Lineage: Eukaryota; Viridiplantae; Streptophyta; Magnoliopsida; Arecales; Arecaceae. The record is from RNAcentral.